This 123-nucleotide small nucleolar RNA is filed under the name Rhinopithecus bieti (black snub-nosed monkey). RNAcentral's name for it is "Small Cajal body specific RNA 15 (ENSRBIG00000002177.1)". It matches the Rfam family "Small Cajal body specific RNA 15". From Rfam's summary of the family: scaRNAs are a specific class of small nuclear RNAs which localise to the Cajal bodies and guide the modification of RNA polymerase II transcribed spliceosomal RNAs U1, U2, U4, U5 and U12. The record is from Rfam by way of RNAcentral. Lineage: Eukaryota; Metazoa; Chordata; Mammalia; Primates; Cercopithecidae.
CUGAAGACUAAGAAAAUAGAGUCCUUAGUCAAGUGACUCUGCUUUUUAGACCUCUUAACUGAAAAGAUAGACAAACAGGUCUUUGUUUGCAAAUAAUUCAGACCUACUUAUCUCCCAACAGCA